Molecule: long non-coding RNA, 135 nt
Organism: Ornithodoros turicata
Lineage: Eukaryota; Metazoa; Arthropoda; Arachnida; Ixodida; Argasidae
Exons: 4
Source: RefSeq, a predicted model, not a curated record
CUCGGCUGAUGCGUGUGGAACUAUGGGGGCACUUGUGGACCCCACUGCAGGCACAUCAUGUUGUCCCCUUGAUCCACAGCUCAGUGGAGUGAGCACCGGACUUGGCCUCGGUAGCACUUCAGUGUCCAGUGAAUG